GUAGACCUGAAAUCAGUCGAGGGUACCCGCUGAAUUUAAGCAUAUUAUUAAGCGGAGGAAGAGAAAAUAACUAUGAUUCCCUUAGUAACGGCGAGUGAAGAGGGAGGUGCUCAAAGUGAUAAUCGUGAUACCUCUUAUGGUACCUCGAGUUGUAGCCUCUAGAGGCGUUACCAGUGGAAAGGGCAGGUCC
This 190-nucleotide ribosomal RNA is filed under the name Eimeria canadensis. RNAcentral's name for it is "partial 28S rRNA". It matches the Rfam family "Eukaryotic large subunit ribosomal RNA", at positions 1 to 183 of the family's 3401-position model. Lineage: Eukaryota; Apicomplexa; Conoidasida; Eucoccidiorida; Eimeriidae. The record is from RNAcentral.